Molecule: ribosomal RNA, 206 nt
Filed under: uncultured bacterium
Lineage: Bacteria
Description: partial 16S ribosomal RNA
Rfam family: Bacterial small subunit ribosomal RNA
Source: RNAcentral
CGCGCAGGCGGCUGGGCAAGUCCGAUGUGAAAGCUUCCGGCUUAACUGGAAAAUUGCAUCGGAAACUGCUCAGCUUGAAGGUGGGAGAGGGUAGCGGAAUUCCCGGUGUAGUGGUGAAAUGCGUAGAUAUCGGGAGGAACACCAGUGGCGAAGGCGGCUACCUGGCCCACUCUUGACGCUGAGGCGCGAAAGCUAGGGAGCAAACG